CGUGUUAACAGGGGUGUCUUCCCGGGUUUUUCUCCACGUGGCAGGUCAUUUCUACCCCAUAAAGUAGUUAGGUGAGCCGCAGUCUCUCGUUCCACGCUAGCCGUCGGCCCGGAGUGGGCUCGAGGAGGCAGGCGGCGGAGUUCCCUCUCUGGAACGUUGCGCAAGGACAUUUUGACCUGAUGCUGUAAUGCUGCAUUCCUCCUUGGCUCUGAAACCUCCUCCCACGUGGUCUGCAAAUCAACUUCUCCUCCCACUCCGCCUGUUUGUUCCGCUGCUCCGUCUGACGGCUGUUUGCAAGGGCAACGUCUGUUGCUUCUCUGUCUUUCAGAAAGUUGAGGAGACGAGUGAGGUAAUGCGCGUUAAAAUGAAAGGAAACACCUUAGCUGCACCCUUUCCUGGGGGCAGGGUGUCACCGAACACGUCAUUUUCCCAGAAUCCUUCGUGAUUUAGUAAUAGAAGUGUCCUUUGACAUAUAGGAAAAUAUAAUUUCCGAAGAGUGAAGCGACUUCGUGGAAACACAGGAUCCCAUCCAGGAGGCCAUUUAGUCAUCAUGUCUCCUCAGGAGCCUCCAGACUGUGGCAGUUUCUCAGACUUCCCUUGUUUUUGGUGACCUUGACAGUUUGGAGCAACUCUGGUUAAAUAUUUUGUAGACUGUCCCUCAAUUUGUACUCAUGUGAUCUUUUUCCUCAUGACUAGACAGAGGUUAUGAAUUUGGAGAAGAAGAACACAGAGGUAGAGUACCAUUUUCAUCACAUAUCGAGGUGACAUGCUAUCGACAUGGCUUACUACUGAUGAUGCUAAGCUUGGUCACUUGGCUGAGGUCGUGGUUCUUAAGGUUUCUCUGCUGUAAGCUUACUCUUUUCGUCUCUUUCCCUACUGUACUUUUUGGAAGGAAGUCACUAUGAGUAGCCCAUAUUUAAUUAAGGAGUAGAAGUUAUCGCCACGUCCUUGAAGGGGCAGUAUAUAUACAAACCAUUUGGCAUUCUUCGGCAUGGAUUAGUUAUUUAUUCAGUUGUUUAUUUAUGUCACUACAAACUCAUGGAUAUUUGUUAAAUAC
RNAcentral lists this long non-coding RNA (1057 nucleotides) under Equus caballus (horse). Its description in RNAcentral is "lncRNA (ENSECAG00000059362.1)". The record is from RNAcentral. Lineage: Eukaryota; Metazoa; Chordata; Mammalia; Perissodactyla; Equidae.